Molecule: ribosomal RNA, 496 nt
Filed under: uncultured bacterium
Lineage: Bacteria
Description: partial 16S ribosomal RNA
Rfam family: Bacterial small subunit ribosomal RNA
Source: RNAcentral
GAUGAACGCUGGCGGCGUGCCUAAUACAUGCAAGUCGAGCGAACGGACGAGAAGCUUGCUUCUCUGAUGUUAGCGGCGGACGGGUGAGUAACACGUGGAUAACCUACCUAUAAGACUGGGAUAACUUCGGGAAACCGGAGCUAAUACCGGAUGAUAUUUUGAACCGCAUGGUUCAAAAGUGAAAGACGGUCUUGCUGUCACUUAUAGAUGGAUCCGCGCUGUAUUAGCUAGUUGGUAAGGUAACGCUUACCAAGGCAACGAUGCAUAGCCGACCUGAGAGGGUGAUCGGCCACACUGGAACUGAGACACGGUCCAGACUCCUACGGGAGGCAGCAGUAGGGAAUCUUCCGCAAUGGGCGAAAGCCUGACGGAGCAACGCCGCGUGAGUGAUGAAGGUCUUCGGAUCGUAAAACUCUGUUAUUAGGGAAGAACAUAUGUGUAAGUAACUGUGCACAUCUUGACGGUACCUAAUCAGAAAGCCACGGCUAACUACGUG